RNAcentral lists this long non-coding RNA (322 nucleotides) under Mytilus galloprovincialis (Mediterranean mussel). The record is from RNAcentral. Lineage: Eukaryota; Metazoa; Mollusca; Bivalvia; Mytilida; Mytilidae.
CAAAUUUAUUUAGUUUAGAAAAACGUGUAAUUCAAAUCAAAUCGGUACCAUUACUAAAUUCGAGGUUACUCGACAUAUUAUAAUACAGUGCCUCAUUAGUGCUGAAAUUAAAACAGGCAAUGUCAUGACAAUAAUAAGAAAAACGAGUAGGCUUUGCUGAUUGUUGAAUGCCAUACGGUGACCUGCAGUUGUUAAUUUCUGUGUCAUUUGGUCUUGUGGAGAGUUGUCUCAUUGGCACUCAUACCACAUCAUCUUUUUUCUACUCACCAACACACCUGUUAGUGAUCUCAGGUACAUGUAUAUUUCGAGAGGCUACUGUUUA